AUGAACGCUGGCGGCGUGCCUAAUACCUGCAAGUCGAGCGAACGGACGAGAAGCUUGCUUCCCUGAUGUUAGCGGCGGACGGGUGAGUAACACGUGGAUAACCUACCUAUAAGACUGGGAUAACUUCGGGAAACCGGAGCUAAUACCGGAUAAUAUUUUGAACCGCAUGGUUCCAAAGUGAAAGACGGUCUUGCUGUCACUUAUAGAUGGAUCCGCGCUGCAUUAGCUAGUUGGUAAGGUAACGGCUUACCAAGGCAACGAUGCAUAGCCGACCUGAGAGGGUGAUCGGCCACACUGGAACUGAGACACGGUCCAGACUCCUACGGGAGGCAGCAGUAGGGAAUCUUCCGCAAUGGGCGAAAGCCUGACGGAGCAACGCCGCGUGAGUGAUGAAGGUCUUCGGAUCGUAAAACUCUGUUAUUAGGGAAGAACAUAUGUGUAAGUAACUGUGCACAUCUUGACGGUACCUAAUCAGAAAGCCACGGCUAACUACGUG
This 496-nucleotide ribosomal RNA is filed under the name uncultured bacterium. Its description in RNAcentral is "partial 16S ribosomal RNA". It matches the Rfam family "Bacterial small subunit ribosomal RNA", at positions 29 to 507 of the family's 1533-position model. The record is from RNAcentral.